RNAcentral lists this ribosomal RNA (402 nucleotides) under uncultured bacterium. Its description in RNAcentral is "bacterial SSU rRNA". It matches the Rfam family "Bacterial small subunit ribosomal RNA", at positions 355 to 774 of the family's 1533-position model. The record is from RNAcentral.
UGGGGAAUCUUGCACAAUGGGGGCAACCCUGAUGCAGCGACGCCGCGUGAGCGAUGAAGCCCUUCGGGGCGUAAAGCUCUUUCGACCGGAACGAUAAUGACGGUACCGGGAGAAGAAGCUGCGGCUAACUACGUGCCAGCAGCCGCGGUAAUACGUAGGCAGCAAGCGUUACUCGGAAUUACUGGGCGUAAAGCGUGCGUAGGCGGCGAGCCAAGUUUGGUGUGAAAUCUCCCGGCUUAACCGGGAGGGUGCGCCGAAAACUGGUUGGCUGGAGUAUGGGAGAGGAAAGCGGAAUUCCUGGUGUAGCGGUGAAAUGCGUAGAUAUCAGGAGGAACACCUGCGGUGUAGACAGCUUUCUGGACCAAAACUGACGCUGAGGCACGAAAGCGUGGGUAGCAAACA